ACGGAAGGCAGCAGUGGGGAAUAUUGGACAAUGGAGGCAACUCUGAUCCAGCGACGCCGCGUGAGUGAAGAAGUAUUUCGGUAUGUAAAGCUCUAUCAGCAGGGAAGAUAAUGACGGUACCUGACUAAGAAGCCCCGGCUAACUACGUGCCAGCAGCCGCGGUAAUACGUAGGGGGCAAGCGUUAUCCGGAUUUACUGGGUGUAAAGGGAGCGUAGACGGUUUGGCAAGUCUGAAGUGAAAUGCGGGGGCUCAACUCCUGAACUGCUUUGGAAACUGUCGAACUAGAGUGCAGGAGAGGUAAGUGGAAUUCCUAGUGUAGCGGUGAAAUGCGUAGAUAUUAGGAGGAACACCAGUGGCGAAGGCGGCUUACUGGACUGUAACUGACGUUGAGGCUCGAAAGCGUGGGGAGCAAACAGGAUUAGAUACCCUGGUA
RNAcentral lists this ribosomal RNA (434 nucleotides) under uncultured Lachnospiraceae bacterium. RNAcentral's name for it is "partial 16S ribosomal RNA". It matches the Rfam family "Bacterial small subunit ribosomal RNA", at positions 341 to 792 of the family's 1533-position model. The record is from RNAcentral. Lineage: Bacteria; Bacillati; Bacillota; Clostridia; Lachnospirales; Lachnospiraceae.